GACAGGAAAAAACAAAUCCACAUCUCAGAGACACAAAUGUUGCAAGCGCAAACCACAGGGGGUUAUUUUCUGUCUUUUUACCAGUGCAGGUGCACCUAAAGAAGCUGCGUGCUGUUCUGAUUUCUGAAGAGAUUCUGCUGUUAAAAAACCAGAAAAAGCAACUCACUGGAGAGGACUACAAACUGUCUCUUGCUGCUUCUUGGAAAUAACUCCAGCCCAGAUGAGGAGAGAGAGACCCCGACAGGACCAAGUGAGCUAUGCUGGGAAGAUGGAGGUCUACCCAUUGAGCUGCAGAGAGGGAUGGAGACUCUGCAGGUGAAGAGAGAGCUGACCGAUGUGAUACUGAGUGUUCAAGGACAUGACUUCCCUUGUCAUAGGGCCAUACUUGCAACUGCCAGUCAGUACUUCAGGGCAAUGUUUUGCAGUGGUCUGAAGGAGAGUCAUGAGGAGUGAGAGCAAAUAAAGGGGCUGGACAGUGGGACAAUGCAAUCUCUCUUAGAGUAAAAAAGUGGAGUCAGAUGAACUGAUAUGCUGCUGCAGUG
Molecule: long non-coding RNA, 542 nt
Organism: Toxotes jaculatrix (banded archerfish)
Lineage: Eukaryota; Metazoa; Chordata; Actinopteri; Toxotidae
Exons: 3
Source: RefSeq, a predicted model, not a curated record